AUUGAACGCUGGCGGCAGGCCUAACACAUGCAAGUCGCACGAGUGGCGGACGGGUGAGUAAUGUCUGGGAAACUGCCCGAUGGAGGGGGAUAACUACUGGAAACGGUAGCUAAUACCGCAUACCAUCGGAUGUGCCCAGCUGGGAUUAGCUAGUAGGUGGUGUAACGGCUCACCUAGGCGACGAUCCCUAGCUGGUCUGAGAGGAUGACCAGCCACACUGGAACUGAGACACGGUCCAGACUCCUACGGGAGGCAGCAGUGGGGAAUAUUGCACAAUGGGCGCAAGCCUGAUGCAGCCAUGCAGCGUGUAUGAAGAAGGCCUUCGGGUUGUAAAGUACUUUCAGCGGGGAGGCGUUACCCGCAGAAGAAGGACCGGCUAACUCCGUGCCAGCAGCCGCGGUAAUUC
This 406-nucleotide ribosomal RNA is filed under the name uncultured bacterium. Its description in RNAcentral is "partial 16S ribosomal RNA". It matches the Rfam family "Bacterial small subunit ribosomal RNA", at positions 30 to 526 of the family's 1533-position model. The record is from RNAcentral.